This 74-nucleotide transfer RNA is filed under the name Mycolicibacterium mageritense. RNAcentral describes it as "tRNA-Leu". It matches the Rfam family "tRNA". Rfam says of the family: Transfer RNA (tRNA) molecules are approximately 80 nucleotides in length. Their secondary structure includes four short double-helical elements and three loops (D, anti-codon, and T loops). Lineage: Bacteria; Bacillati; Actinomycetota; Actinomycetes; Mycobacteriales; Mycobacteriaceae. The record is from RNAcentral. RNAcentral also lists the same sequence under 3 other names.
ACCCCUCUGGCCCAAUUGGUAGAGGCAACGGUUUUAGGUGCCGUAGGUUCCCGGUUCGAGUCCGGGGAGGGGUA